GACGAACGCUGGCGGCGUGCUUAACACAUGCAAGUCGAACGGUGAAGCGCCUUCCUUUUUGGUGGGUGUGGAUGAGUGGCGAACGGGUGAGUAACACGUGAGUAACCUGCCCCCUUCUUCUGGAUAACCGCAUGAAAGUGUGGCUAAUACGGGAUAUUCUGGGUCUGUCGCAUGAUGGGUCUGGGAAAGAUAUUGUUUCGGUGGGGGAUGGGCUCGCGGACUAUCAGCUUGUUGGUGGGGUGAUGGCCUACCAAGGCGGUGACGGGUAGCCGGCCUGAGAGGGUGGACGGUCACACUGGGACUGAGACACGGCCCAGACUCCUACGGGAGGCAGCAGUGGGGAAUAUUGCACAAUGGGCGCAAGCCUGAUGCAGCGACGCCGCGUGAGGGAUGGAGGCCUGCGGGUUGUGAACCUCUUUCGCCAGUGAAGCAGGCCUGCCUCGUUUGUGGGUGGGUUGACGGUAGCUGGAUAAGAAGCGCCGGCUAACUACGUG
Molecule: ribosomal RNA, 494 nt
Filed under: uncultured bacterium
Lineage: Bacteria
Description: partial 16S ribosomal RNA
Rfam family: Bacterial small subunit ribosomal RNA
Source: RNAcentral